AAUAAGUGCAGUUUUAGCACUGUUCAUAUGUCCAACAUUAGAUCGUUCGUCUUAUUUGAAAAAAAGAUUAUGAUUAGUAUUUUUAUUGUUAUUAGAUGAUAAAACAUGAAUAGUACUUUAUGUGUGACUAAUUUUUUUAAUAUUUUUCAUAAAUUUUUCAAAUAAGACGGAUGGUCAAAACACUGAGUACGCAUAUCUAUGGCUACACUUAUU
Oryza meridionalis is the source of this 213-nucleotide non-coding RNA. The record is from Rfam. Lineage: Eukaryota; Viridiplantae; Streptophyta; Magnoliopsida; Poales; Poaceae.